This 305-nucleotide ribosomal RNA is filed under the name uncultured bacterium. Its description in RNAcentral is "bacterial SSU rRNA". It matches the Rfam family "Bacterial small subunit ribosomal RNA", at positions 335 to 654 of the family's 1533-position model. The record is from RNAcentral.
UACCCUACGGGACGCAGCAGUGGGGAAUAUUGGGCAAUGGGCGCAAGCCUGACCCAGCAACGCCGCGUGAAGGAAGAAGGCCCUCGGGUUGUAAACUUCUUUUAACAGGGACGAAGAAAGUGACGGUACCUGUUGAAUAAGCCACGGCUAACUACGUGCCAGUAGCCGCGGUAAUACGUAGGUGGCAAGCGUUAUCCGGAUUUACUGGGUGUAAAGGGCGUGUAGGCGGGGACGCAAGUCAGAUGUGAAAACCACGGGCUCAACCUGUGGCCUGCAUUUGAAACUGUGUUUCUUGAGUACUGGAG